This 252-nucleotide ribosomal RNA is filed under the name uncultured bacterium. Its description in RNAcentral is "partial 16S ribosomal RNA". It matches the Rfam family "Bacterial small subunit ribosomal RNA", at positions 524 to 776 of the family's 1533-position model. The record is from RNAcentral.
UACGGAGGAUGCGAGCGUUAUCCGGAUUUAUUGGGUUUAAAGGGUGCGCAGGCGGCGUGUCAAGUCAGCGGUAAAAUGUCGCGGCUCAACCCCGGCCGGCCGUUGAAACUGGCGUGCUCGAGUUGGAGAGAAGUAUGCGGAAUUCGUGGUGUAGCGGUGAAAUGCAUAGAUAUCACGAAGAACCCCGAUUGCGAAGGCAGCAUACCGGCUCCACACUGACGCUGAGGCACGAAAGCGUGGGUAUCAAACAGG